Molecule: ribosomal RNA, 425 nt
Filed under: uncultured bacterium
Lineage: Bacteria
Description: bacterial SSU rRNA
Rfam family: Bacterial small subunit ribosomal RNA
Source: RNAcentral
GGGAAUUGUUCACAAUGGGCGCAAGCCUGAUGACGCAACGCCGCGUGGGGGAUGAAGGCCUUCGGGUCGUAAACCCCUGUCGAAUGGGACGAAUAGCCCGCGAUUUAACAGAACGCGGGAUUGACGGUACCGUUAAAGGAAGCCACGGCUAACUCUGUGCCAGCAGCCGCGGUAAUACAGAGGUGGCAAGCGUUGUUCGGAAUUACUGGGCGUAAAGGGCGCGUAGGCGGCCUUCUAAGUCAGACGUGAAAUCCCCCGGCUUAACCUGGGAACUGCGUCUGAUACUGGGAGGCUUGAGUAUGGGAGAGGGAUGUAGAAUUCCAGGUGUAGCGGUGAAAUGCGUAGAGAUCUGGAGGAAUACCGGUGGCGAAGGCGGCCCCCUGGACGAAGACUGACGCUCAGGUGCGAAAGCGUGGGGAGCAAAC